Molecule: non-coding RNA, 198 nt
Organism: Ciona savignyi (Pacific transparent sea squirt)
Lineage: Eukaryota; Metazoa; Chordata; Ascidiacea; Phlebobranchia; Cionidae
Source: Rfam
AUUUUAUCGCAUCGUUUUAUACCGCUGUGGUGUUGCGUGGUUGAUGCGAAUAAAAGUACUUUAACCUGGGACGGAAACGAUUCGUUUCCUCUAUGUAUUAAUCGGAUUUUUGAACUUGGAGUAUGGUGCUGGAGCUUGCUCCACCCUGCUCACGGGUUGUCCUGGUAUUGCAGUACCUCCAGGUUCGGCUCACGUUUC